UACGUAGGGAGCAAGCGUUGUCCGGAUUUACUGGGCGUAAAGGGCGCGUAGGCGGCAAUUCAAGUCAUCUGUGAAAUCUCCGGGCUUAACUCGGAACGGUCAGAUGAUACUGUUUUGCUAGAGUGCAGAAGGGGCAAUCGGAAUUCUUGGUGUAGCGGUGAAAUGCGUAGAUAUCAAGAGGAACACCUGAGGUGAAGACGGGUUGCUGGGCUGACACUGACGCUGAGGCGCGAAAGCCAGGGGAGCAAACGGG
RNAcentral lists this ribosomal RNA (253 nucleotides) under uncultured bacterium. RNAcentral describes it as "partial 16S ribosomal RNA". It matches the Rfam family "Bacterial small subunit ribosomal RNA", at positions 524 to 776 of the family's 1533-position model. The record is from RNAcentral.